AACCUUUACACUGUACGCAAGUGCGAUAAGGGGACUCCGAGUGUGAAGGCAUAGAGCCUUCACUUUUGUACACCGUAAGGUGGUGUACGAAUAAGGGCUGGGCAAGACCGGUGCCAGCCGCCGCGGUAAUACCGGCAGCCCGAGUGAUGGCCGAUCUUAUUGGGCCUAAAGCGUCCGUAGCUGGCCGCACAAGUCCGUUGGGAAAUCUGCUCGCUUAACGAGCAGGCGUCCAGCGGAAACUGUUCGGCUUGGGACCGGAAGACCUGAGGGGUACGUCCGGGGUAGGAGUGAAAUCCUGUAAUCCUGGACGGACCACCGGUGGCGAAAGCGCCUCAGGAGGACGGAUCCGACAGUGAGGGACGAAAGCUAGGGUCUCGAACCGGAUUAGAUACCCGGGUAGUCCUAGCUGUAAACGAUGCCCGCUAGGUGUGGCGCAGGCUACGAGCCUGCGCUGUGCCGUAGGGAAGCCGAGAAGCGGGCCGCCUGGGAAGUACGUCUGCAAGGAUGAAACUUAA
This 515-nucleotide ribosomal RNA is filed under the name uncultured archaeon. RNAcentral's name for it is "bacterial SSU rRNA". It matches the Rfam family "Archaeal small subunit ribosomal RNA", at positions 345 to 859 of the family's 1478-position model. The record is from RNAcentral.